Molecule: long non-coding RNA, 562 nt
Organism: Panicum virgatum (switchgrass)
Lineage: Eukaryota; Viridiplantae; Streptophyta; Magnoliopsida; Poales; Poaceae
Exons: 3
Source: RefSeq, a predicted model, not a curated record
UAGUCGUCCGGUCGCUCUCCAUGUACUGGGCGUCGCGCUCGACUUACCAAGCUGCGAUAUGGCGUCCGACUUCCGUAGUUAGGCGUCGCCUAGGCGGUAAAAGGCGAAUUUGGACGCCUCACGGGUAGAAGACGAUGCCAUAUCGCAGCGCGGGAGGAGCGCGUGGGAAAGCGUGACCCGCGCGGGGGAAGGGCGCGGCGUACAUGACCCGCGCAAAAAAAAAACGUGAGCUGAGAUUCAGAUAGGGCCAUAGAGGAUAGGGCGGCGGCGCACCUGAAGCUUGGCGGCGGCGGAGCACCUGAAGGUUGGCGGCGGCGCGGCGCACCUGACCAGCAGCAGCUUCCAGCCUUCCACCAAGGAGCCCAGGAGGCAGGAGCCGAGGACCAGGACCAAGGCGCCAAGCCACAGCGCAGGAGGCAAGAGCCCAGGAGGCAGGAGCCCAGGACUAGGACCAAGGCGCCAAGCGCCCAAGCCACAGGUCCAGGACUCCAGGUUGUAAAGCAGGUUGCCGAAGGUUGCACAUCACCCAACUAAGAGGUUCCCUCCCAUUCUCUUUAUGUCU